GGAGAGGUGGCCGAGUGGUCGAAGGCGCUCGCCUGCUAAGCGAGUGUACGUUUAAUCGCGUACCGAGGGUUCGAAUCCCUCCCUCUCCG
This 89-nucleotide transfer RNA is filed under the name Desulfurellaceae bacterium. RNAcentral's name for it is "tRNA-Ser". It matches the Rfam family "tRNA". Rfam says of the family: Transfer RNA (tRNA) molecules are approximately 80 nucleotides in length. Their secondary structure includes four short double-helical elements and three loops (D, anti-codon, and T loops). The record is from RNAcentral. Lineage: Bacteria; Pseudomonadati; Campylobacterota; Desulfurellia; Desulfurellales; Desulfurellaceae.